GCACUGCCUAGCUCAGGACAGUAUGUUUUCUGGCAGGGCUUGGAUAUGCCAAAAAGAUGAGCAUACAAAUGUUUUGGCAAGGACUUCUGAAUAUCAGUCUGUUUCACAGGCUAUGUCACAAUGCCAAGUUGUACGAUUUCUUCGAAAAUAAAAUCAGGAGUGUAUUGGAAGUUAAUACACUUCUGAUGCUGCAGGACUUUCUAAAGUCCUGGAUUUUUCAAAAUCACUGGGUGACAAUCUUCCUUAUACUUUUCCUACUAGUUACUUUUGGGUUAAUAUUCCUAAACAUUCGUACAUCCUUUCACAAGGAGACUGUGCAGCUGAAAAAGGGACCUUCACGUACGUGUUCCCAGAAGAGUGAAGAUAGUCACCAGAAAAGGAUAAAAUUUGCUGUGAAGAAUUGUAGAGAUGACGAUCACUUAUCUUCGGAACAUAGAAUUAACAUCUUUUCAGAAGGAAUUACUUCAUCACUUACAUCUAAACAAAGUGAAGAUAGCUUUGAAGAUGGAAAUGUAUCAUUAGAUGAAAUAACGUGAGCAGAUGGCAUUGAAAGUGAACAUGGAGUAAGUCACUUUAGUGAGUUGUCUUCAGGUAACAUCAGCUCAUCUUUGUCAUUAUUUGACUUAAAAUUAGGAAAAUGUUUUCUAAGCCCUGGACAGCACCCAGAAAAUGAAAGUCAAACAACACAUUUUUCCUCUGAGGAAUUAUUUUUAUUAACAAAAACCAACAAAAAGGAAAAUUCAAGAUUUUCUUCUCAUCCUAAUAUUUUAAAAACUUCUGAAUUCACUGGGGCAAAGGAAGAUCUUGAGGCGACACCAUGCCCUCCUGCCCAUCUAUUACUCACUAAAGGCCAAGUUAGACUUCUGGAAGAAAAUAUCAGAAAUCAAAUUACUUUAAAACCUAAAGCUGCAUUUAAAAAUGAAGCUACUAAUUUGUGCUCAAGAUCUCAAGAGUCCUUGGUUCAGAAUCAACACUCUGUUGGAAGGGUUAUUGCUGACCAAGCACAAGAUUCUUUUCGAGGGCAAAAUACUGAUCAGAAUGAAGGGUUUUGUGAAGCACAAGCUACCACUCAAGCCCAACAAGUUAUUCAAAACCCAGAACUGGUCCACAGGCAGCCUGAUACCAAGGCGAGCGAUUUUGCUCAGCCUCAAAAUUUAAUGAACGAAGCAUUUUCCAUUGGCACAGAAGAUUCUGUGCAGGCCCCGGAUAUGGAUAGGAGCCAAGAAUUCAUCAAAGCCCCAUAUAGUGUUGAGACAAAAAAUGCAAUCAAGGGCCUAGAAUCUGAUCAACAGCCAGAACUGUCUUUAAUGGCUAAUGCUGAUGAACUAAAAACACUUUGCUCAUUAUUAGAAACAACAAACUGCAAGAAUAAAGUGUCACCUAAGGACCCAAGUAAGCUGACGUUUGGUCAGCACGUUCCAAAACAUGAAAUGCCUUCAGAAGUUACAUCAGAAUCUAGGCAGAAACUGGUGUCAUCUCCCCAGAUGACACUGAACAAGAAAAUGGAAAUACAGAAGGGCCUACAAAGUGCAGAGGAUUCCUACCUACAAUUCUCAAACAAGGAGGACUUUACACCUGGUGCACCUCACAGGCCAAAGUGCUCUCCAAUUACCAAGGCAAAGAAGGCAUCGAUUUCAAAGAUAAUUAAUAUUACACGGUGUGGUCCUCACAAACACCUACCACCUGAGACCCUGAAAUCACAGACUACUGAAUUUUUAAUAUGCUCUGGGGUCCUAUCUUAUAGGUUUCAUAAAACUCUACUGGAAGAUGCAUCAGUGGAGAAAAAGAAAGGAUUAGGACAAGAAUGUCCAGGAACAAUCCUGGAAUCUUUCCCUUUCUCCAAACUUGUUUCACUUGCAUCUGAAAGAGAGGGAGACAUAGCAAAAUGUAUGGACAAGACACAUAAAAUGUGUCCCAAACAUGUAACUUUGAAGGCGAAGAAGCCAAAGACACUUAAUAUCGCAGGAUGUGACAUAACAAGCCAUCGACGGGAACUAAGAUGCUACUCCAAAACCAAGAUGAAACAAAGUAGGCCUAUGGCAGAUAUAUUCCUAAAUGCCAUUUUAUCAUCAUUGAUAGUGUCCCUUAACAUGAAACUGUGUGACGGAAUAAUAGUGACAAAUAUGGUGCAGAAAAAAAGAUUUAAUCCUGAACCACAACAGCAAGAGCAAGCAGCACAUGAAGAGAGAGCCUGGCAUGUGCAUUCCAUCCAUGAGGGCAUCGUCACAGAUGGCACUAAGGAUGUGAAACAUCUCGCUGGAGGAGCAGACCCACUGGUUUCCCAACAGUUCAGUUUCAAAGUUAAUGAAAUGAAGGAGCCCAACUUGAGGAAAUCAGAGCUAGAACUGAAGAUUUCAGCAACCAGCAAAAUGUUGGAAGUGCUCCCUACAGCUCAGGAGCUCCAGCAACAGACGCUUGCUACCCAAAGUAGAUUAAAUUCUAUUCUGAGUUCAUCCCCAUUUGAGAAGCUACAAAGAACAACAGAAUCACAGAAAGCCUUACAAGAUAGUGGUAUCUUCUCUCCACAUCUCAAUGGAGAGCCACGGAGAACAAAGCAAUCAAAUUUAAUCAACAACCCAUUAAAAUCAAGAAGACAGUGGACUUUUCAAAAACAUUAAGAGCAAAGCAAUUGAAUAUUUAUAAACAGAACAAAAAAUUUUUCUGGAAUCCGUUAUCUCUUGGGUGAUACAUCAGUUUAGUAUUGAAAUUCCAAAGAAACAAGUCUCAUCAAAAGCAAUCAUAAAUUCAAAAAUUUCAAAUAGUGUGGUGGAGAAAGCAUCAAGCAAAGUUUGUAUUUCAGGAGACCAAUCUCCAAGUAUAAAAGUCAAUGCCUUUGACUGUGAUAACACAGUCAACAGACUCAAACUGCAGAAGGGACAUAAAAGAAAAAAACGAUAAAUAGGAAGCAUAGAAAGAGUGAUGCAAAUUUGGUUAUGACAAAAGUGUAUGAGCCCAUCCCUUCUUUACCGCACUUCAAGCUGCAUAAAGACACAAUAGAUGGGGUUUUCUCAAAUAACGUAAAAAGAACCAUAGAACAUAUAUCACGUGAAGAAAAGGACAGAGCAAAACCAUUGGAAAUGAAAGGAAUCAUGGACCAUAACAUUGCUUUGAAGGCAGAGAAACCUUCACUGUUGUACAUACCUGGUGGAAAGGAAUUGCCUUUGCUGUUGCAGAGUAUAAAACAGGAGAGCAACGUGCAAGAAGGUAAAGCUAAGAAUCCCUGUACUCGGGGGCUGAGGCACAAGGGUCACCAUGAGUUUGAGGCCAGUGUGGGCU
Molecule: long non-coding RNA, 3276 nt
Filed under: Heterocephalus glaber (naked mole-rat)
Lineage: Eukaryota; Metazoa; Chordata; Mammalia; Rodentia; Bathyergidae
Description: lncRNA (ENSHGLG00000032179.1)
Source: RNAcentral